GGUCGCGCUAAAGCGCGCUUCCCGUGAUGACAUUCGAUUGUUCGCCAGCGCAACGGUGAGCGGCUGCGAGACGGUGACGGCUUCCCAUAAGUUCCCGCCGAAGAGAUGCGCACUUUCCCUUGGCAGCUACGAUGACUCAUCGCACGAAUUCGAUUACAGCACACGGCGAAGCACUAAGAUUCCUUCUCUAAGAACAAAGAUCUUUCCUUACUCUUAAUUCUAUCAUUUAUAAUAGGGAUAAAGAGUUAGCAUAUCCUUAAAUCACGAAAUGGAUACUCCGAACAGUAUUCCGAGAGGAAAGAUAUCCUAUUCUUUUUCUUUUUUUUUCAUCAAAGAGGUGUGUUCUACUUGUAAUAAAGUGUUCACUUUGGAAAAGAACUUAACUUGAAAUCUAAAGUUCCAUUUGGGAGGACGCACCUUUGAUAGCGUGGAAUGUGAGUUGCAGUUCGUUUGACAAAGUCAUUUAAUAAGCAUACACGAAUUCAUUCUGAAAGAAAAAAAUACCUUUUUAAUACAGUAUAAAUUGCAAGAGAUAGCUCGUGUUGAUAAAUUAAGAGUUCAUGAAGUGAUUCAUCUUCGAAAUUUUAUUUGUGUGGUAUGUUUACAAGUUUUCCCGAAAACAAGUGAUUUGAAUUCCGAUGAAAGGACCUUUGUCAAGUUGAACCCCUAACUAAUAUUAUCUUUGAUUGACUAGUUUAGAAAAUUACGUAUGGCAACAGUGAAGGUUGUUGGCAUUUUCGUUUUGAGCUCCUUCUUUUUAUGAGAAAAGGAGAAAAAUAACUUCGAGUUGCAUUUCAUGUGUAUUUGAUCAUUAAAUGAGUAUUUUCUUACGCCAUUUAUAUUUUUGAGUGUUGUUUUGAGAUGCUGAAACUACAGUUCCUUGUAGUCACUUAUUAGAUUUGUAAAUAAACUGUUUGUGUUGUAA
This is a long non-coding RNA of Stegodyphus dumicola, 925 nucleotides long. RefSeq lists it as uncharacterized. NCBI's taxonomy places the organism in Eukaryota, Metazoa, Arthropoda, Arachnida, Araneae, Eresidae. The record is from RefSeq and is a predicted model, not a curated record.